RNAcentral lists this ribosomal RNA (253 nucleotides) under uncultured bacterium. Its description in RNAcentral is "partial 16S ribosomal RNA". It matches the Rfam family "Bacterial small subunit ribosomal RNA", at positions 524 to 776 of the family's 1533-position model. The record is from RNAcentral.
UACGUAGGGUGCAAGCGUUGUCCGGAAUUACUGGGCGUAAAGGGCGCGUAGGCGGAUGUUUAAGUCGGGGGUGAAAGCCCAGGGCUCAACCCUGGAAUUGCCUUCGAUACUGGACAUCUUGAGUACGGGAGAGGUGAGUGGAACUCCGAGUGUAGAGGUGAAAUUCGUAGAUAUUCGGAAGAACACCAGUGGCGAAAGCGACUCACUGGCCCGUUACUGACGCUGAUGCGCGAAAGCGUGGGGAGCAAACAGG